AACGAACGCUGGCGGCAGGCCUAACACAUGCAAGUCGAGCGGACCUUUCGGGGUCAGCGGCGGACGGGUGAGUAACGCGUGGGAAUAUGCCCUUCUCUACGGAAUAGUCCUGGGAAACUGGGGGUAAUACCGUAUACGCCCUUUGGGGGAAAGAUUUAUCGGGGAAGGAUUAGCCCGCGUUGGAUUAGGUAGUUGGUGGGGUAAUGGCCUACCAAGCCGACGAUCCAUAGCUGGUUUGAGAGGAUGAUCAGCCACACUGGGACUGAGACACGGCCCAGACUCCUACGGGAAGCAGCAGUGGGGAAUCUUAGACAAUGGGGGCGACCCUGAUCUAGCCAUGCCGCGUGAGUGAUGAAGGCCUUAGGGUUGUAAAGCUCUUUCAGCUGGGAAGAUAAUGACGGUACCAGCAGAAGAAGCCCCGGCUAACUCCGUG
Molecule: ribosomal RNA, 433 nt
Filed under: uncultured bacterium
Lineage: Bacteria
Description: partial 16S ribosomal RNA
Rfam family: Bacterial small subunit ribosomal RNA
Source: RNAcentral